This 253-nucleotide ribosomal RNA is filed under the name uncultured bacterium. RNAcentral's name for it is "partial 16S ribosomal RNA". It matches the Rfam family "Bacterial small subunit ribosomal RNA", at positions 524 to 776 of the family's 1533-position model. The record is from RNAcentral.
UACGGAGGGUGCGAGCGUUAUCCGGAUUCACUGGGUUUAAAGGGUGCGUAGGAGGGCAGGUAAGUCAGUGGUGAAAUCUCCAAGCUUAACUUGGAAACUGCCGUUGAUACUAUCUGUCUUGAAUAUUGUGGAGGUGAGCGGAAUAUGUCAUGUAGCGGUGAAAUGCUUAGAUAUGACAUAGAACACCAAUUGCGAAGGCAGCUCACUACACAAUCAUUGACUCUGAGGCACGAAAGCGUGGGGAUCAAACAGG